RNAcentral lists this ribosomal RNA (492 nucleotides) under uncultured bacterium. Its description in RNAcentral is "partial 16S ribosomal RNA". It matches the Rfam family "Bacterial small subunit ribosomal RNA", at positions 29 to 507 of the family's 1533-position model. The record is from RNAcentral.
AGUGAACGCUGGCGGCAGGCCUAACACAUGCAAGUCGAACGGAAGCCGAGUAAGGGCUUCUUCUUUCAGGUGGCGAGUGGCGGGCGGGGGUGACACAUAUCCGACUUGCCUUUUUCGGGGGGGCUAAAGUAGGGAAACAUACCUUAUAACCCCAUACGACCUACGUGGGCAAGCAGGGGAUCUUAGGACCUUGCGCGAUUGAAUGACCCGCUGUCGGAUUAGUGAUUUGGCGGGGUAAAGGCCCACCAAGGCGAAGAUCCGUAGCUGGUCUGAGAGGAUGACCACCAACACUGGAACUGGGACACGGUCAAGACUCCUACGGGAGGCAGCAGGGGGGAACAUUGGACAAGGGGCGAAAGCCUGAUCCAGACAUCCCGCGUGGGGGAAGAAGGCUUUCGGGUGGUAAAGCCCGUUAAUUGGGAAGGAAGGGCAGCAGGUUAAUACCCCGCUGUUCUGACGGUACCCAAAGAAUAAGCACCGGCUAACUUCGUG